AGAGAGAUAAGCCUUACAGUUGCUGAUCUAGAAGCAUUAGGCAAGAGUGUCUGAGAACGAUGGUAUGAUCUGCAACACUGUCUUUUUUUAUUACUGAUUUAUUACUGACUAUCUAUUUCUUUCUUUGUUGUUAUUCAACAAGAGAGAACUCCCAUUAAUGGGAAUCAAAAGGAAACCCUGAAAUAAUUUUUUAAGGAUGGAAUGACACGAGUUGGUUCAGAAUUAAUACCAAGAGCUGCAUCAGCUACUGGUUUGGACACCAGUGUCGUAGAAAUAAGAACUGGAUUGGUAAUUACAAAAGAUCGCAAAUGACCAAUGCUUCGUCUGAGCCCCGGCCAUCAAAGGCCAAAGUUCACAUUAGAGAGCUGUCGCCUUACAAUCUUUUUUGUAGGGACAUAUUCAAAAACAAAGAUGGAGGCAAUUUGUGCUGUGUCUGCUGCGUCCAUUUUGAUGAUAAGAAGAAGAAUGCAAGACAGAAGUGGAGUUCAUGGUCUCAGUGCACAGUGUGCCAAUCAUGGUCACACACAGCAUGUGGCUUAAAAAGAACAUGUGCCUUCACUGCCAGUGUCAAGACACCAUGCAAACACCCUGAAGAUGUAUCUUGUUACUUGUUUGGGUUGUUUUUACUGUGUUGACGGCCCCCAACCCAACCAUCCAAAAACACACACACACACACACACAAUACAUACAUAUGCUGCAAAUUCAUUGUAAUGACCACACUUCACACGUAAGAAGAAAAUUGUGAUCUUUUUGUUAUUUUCUUUCACCCCAAUUUUUAUUAAUUGUUGUUUGUUGGCACCAUCAAUGUGGUCUCCUUUAUACAGGACUUAUGUGGGGACCAAUAAAGUUACAUUGUACUGAAUUGAGUCUACAUGCAUGAGACAUGAGUCUACAUGCUUUUUAUAUAUACACCUGUUUCAUCAUUGGUUCAGUAGGGCUGGGUUUUAGCAAGGACCUCACCAUAAUAUUCACAACAGUGGGUCAGAGUAUGAUUUCAUGUUAUGAUUAGAUGCUUCACAUAACUUAACAUGUUUCACAGUUUUGCUGUCACUAGGAGAUGCUUGGCAAAAAAUAUAUUGAAAAGAUGGUUACUGGUACUUGUAGAAACUUUGGUAUACAGCUGAACACUACAAUUUAUUUAUUUUAAAUUUAAAUGGUUUCUAUGGCAUUGCUUACUUCCACUCUGAAGUAUUUUCUUCACAAUUACUGUUAUGCUUUUAUUUUAAUGAUAAACAUUUAAGAGAAAAUGUGAAGGGUAUCAUUUUAUCUGUGUUAAGGAUAUCAAUUGUUUCUCCUUGGAUUCAGAUAAAUAAAGUUUAUUGUCAGUUUAUG
Molecule: long non-coding RNA, 1332 nt
Organism: Carassius gibelio (silver crucian carp)
Lineage: Eukaryota; Metazoa; Chordata; Actinopteri; Cypriniformes; Cyprinidae
Exons: 3
Source: RefSeq, a predicted model, not a curated record